This 468-nucleotide ribosomal RNA is filed under the name uncultured bacterium. RNAcentral describes it as "partial 16S ribosomal RNA". It matches the Rfam family "Bacterial small subunit ribosomal RNA", at positions 28 to 507 of the family's 1533-position model. The record is from RNAcentral.
GACGAACGCUGGCGGCGUGCUUAACACAUGCAAGUCGAACGGAAAGGCCCUGCUUUUGUGGGGUGCUCGAGUGGCGAACGGGUGAGUAACACGUGAGUAACCUGCCCUUGACUUUGGGAUAACUUCAGGAAACUGGGGCUAAUACCGGAUAGGAGCUCCUGCUGCAUGGUGGGGGUUGGAAAGUUUCGGCGGUUGGGGAUGGACUCGCGGCUUAUCAGCUUGUUGGUGGGGUAGUGGCUUACCAAGGCUUUGACGGGUAGCCGGCCUGAGAGGGUGACCGGCCACAUUGGGACUGAGAUACGGCCCAGACUCCUACGGGAGGCAGAAGUGGGGAAUAUUGCACAAUGGGCGGAAGCCUGAUGCAGCAACGCCGCGUGCGGGAUGACGGCCUUCGGGUUGUAAACCGCUUUCGCCUGUGAUGAAGCGUGAGUGACGGUAAUGGGUAAAGAAGAACCGGCUAACUACGUG